GACGAACGCUGGCGGCGUGCUUAACACAUGCAAGUCGAACGGUGAAGGGAUCAGCUUGCUGGUUCUGGAUGAGUGGCGAACGGGUGAGUAACACGUGAGUAACCUGCCCCCUUCUUCUGGAUAACCGCAUGAAAGUGUGGCUAAUACGGGAUAUUCUGGGUCUGUCGCAUGAUGGGUCUGGGAAAGAUAUUGUUUCGGUGGGGGAUGGGCUCGCGGCCUAUCAGCUUGUUGGUGGGGUGAUGGCCUACCAAGGCGGUGACGGGUAGCCGACCUGAGAGGGUGGAAGAUCACACUGGAGAUGAGACACGGACCAGACUCGUACGGGAGGGAGGGGUGGGGAAUAUUGCGGAAUGGGCGCAAGCCUGAUGCAGCGACGCCGGGUGAGGGAUGGAGGCCUUCGGGUUGUAAACCUCUUUCGCAAGUGAAGCAGGCCUGCUCCUUGUGGGUGGGUUGACGGUAGCUGGAUAAGAAGCGCCGGCUAACUACGUG
This 489-nucleotide ribosomal RNA is filed under the name uncultured bacterium. Its description in RNAcentral is "partial 16S ribosomal RNA". It matches the Rfam family "Bacterial small subunit ribosomal RNA", at positions 28 to 507 of the family's 1533-position model. The record is from RNAcentral.